This 854-nucleotide ribosomal RNA is filed under the name Microbacterium gorillae. RNAcentral's name for it is "bacterial SSU rRNA". It matches the Rfam family "Bacterial small subunit ribosomal RNA", at positions 1 to 866 of the family's 1533-position model. The record is from RNAcentral. Lineage: Bacteria; Bacillati; Actinomycetota; Actinomycetes; Micrococcales; Microbacteriaceae.
CUCUAGAGUUUGAUCCUGGCUCAGGAUGAACGCUGGCGGCGUGCUUAACACAUGCAAGUCGAACGGUGAAGCAGGAGCUUGCUCUUGUGGAUCAGUGGCGAACGGGUGAGUAACACCCGCCCCAACCUGCCCCAGACUCUGGGAUAAGCGCUGGAAACGGCGUCUAAUACUGGAUACGAGUGGAGACGGCAUCGUCAUUCACUGGAAAGAAUUUCGGUCUGGGAUGGGCUCGCGGCCUAUCAGCUUGUUGGUGAGGUAAUGGCUCACCAAGGCGUCGACGGGUAGCCGGCCUGAGAGGGUGACCGGCCACACUGGGACUGAGACACGGCCCAGACUCCUACGGGAGGCAGCAGUGGGGAAUAUUGCACAAUGGGCGAAAGCCUGAUGCAGCAACGCCGCGUGAGGGAUGACGGCCUUCGGGUUGUAAACCUCUUUUAGCAGGGAAGAAGCGAAAGUGACGGUACCUGCAGAAAAAGCGCCGGCUAACUACGUGCCAGCAGCCGCGGUAAUACGUAGGGCGCAAGCGUUAUCCGGAAUUAUUGGGCGUAAAGAGCUCGUAGGCGGUCUGUCGCGUCUGCUGUGAAAACCCGAGGCUCAACCUCGGGCCUGCAGUGGGUACGGGCAGACUAGAGUGCGGUAGGGGAGAUUGGAAUUCCUGGUGUAGCGGUGGAAUGCGCAGAUAUCAGGAGGAACACCGAUGGCGAAGGCAGAUCUCUGGGCCGUAACUGACGCUGAGGAGCGAAAGGGUGGGGAGCAAACAGGCUUAGAUACCCUGGUAGUCCACCCCGUAAACGUUGGGAACUAGUUGUGGGGUCCUUUCCACGGAUUCCGUGACGCAGCUAACGCAUUAAGUG